UACAAAAAGUGUACUACGCUCUCUGACUAGGUCUUGCGCACUUGUAUCAUCUGUAGUGUCCAUGUUACAACUGGAUUAUAUUGUUAAGUCUUGUAAUGGACAAGACAUAAAUUUAAUGUCAAUUUAAUCAAUAACAGCAGAAAAAGUAAAAAACAAUAGCAAAUAAUAAUGAACAUAGUAAUGGUGAUGAUGAAUGCGUGAAAUCAACUACUUGUAAGGCACAAAAUCUGCCACAGCCGAGUGAAUUUUUCACUCAAAAUUCAUAAAUGACUACUUGUUUAAUAUAGGGAAAAUAAUAAUAAUAAUAAUAAGAAGAAGAAGCACAUAAAUCCCUAAUUUUUCACUCAAAAUUCAUAAAUGACUACUUUGUUUUCUUCUUUCCAUGGGCGGCACCUACCCAUUUUCCUUCUUCAAUGGCUAGCCACCCACCGUCUUUGAAUUCAAAGAUGGUUGCUCAACCACCCACCAUUUUGACACUUUUUUUUUAAUCAAUUUUCAACAUCAAUUUUCUUGGUAACCAAAUCCAAGAGAAAAAUUAGAGAGUCGAAAGAGAGAAAGAUGCGAUUAGCAGACGAGAGAAGAUGAGAGAAAAAAUUUCGUGUAGCCCAUACAAACGGAAACCGAACUCAACCAAUUAGAUAAUUUAGUUUGAUUUUAAUUCCAAACUUAGCCGUGAUUAAGUAAUUAAUUUGUUAGCUCUAGUUCUAACAAUAAGUGAAGAAGAGGAUCUUGUUGGAUGCCCGAAAUGCUAUAACAGAGUAAUGUUAGCUUUGUAUGGGCCACAUGUAAACUUUUAAGAGACUAUAUUUAAUAAA
Molecule: long non-coding RNA, 815 nt
Filed under: Citrus sinensis (sweet orange)
Lineage: Eukaryota; Viridiplantae; Streptophyta; Magnoliopsida; Sapindales; Rutaceae
Description: long non-coding RNA (CSIN_LNC001138)
Source: RNAcentral